Molecule: long non-coding RNA, 1540 nt
Organism: Populus nigra (black poplar)
Lineage: Eukaryota; Viridiplantae; Streptophyta; Magnoliopsida; Malpighiales; Salicaceae
Exons: 2
Source: RefSeq, a predicted model, not a curated record
UGUUGUGCAUUGUUAGAACAUGGAGACAAUGGAUGGGCUGUGAGAUGACUUCACAUAGCUCUAGAAAGUGAAGAUUAAACAUAGGCUGGCUGGCCUCUUCCCCCUACGCACAUUGCUAUAAAUAGCCUUCUUGACAUACACACAUGUUCGCAUGCCAGAAAGAAGGGACUUGCAGUGGAAAAGAAAGAAAGAAUAGUGUUAGAUAGACUGGAUGUAUGUCCAAGUGAAACCCCAACAAACUCCCAUUUCUCCAGUGGAGUCUUACCUUUUUCUGCAAUCAUUGAAACCCUUAGGAAUGCAGUGACUUCCACUCGCUCGAAAUCUCUGCAUGGAGAAUGUUCUGCAUUCAUUGGUUUUCAGCAAAAGGUCGCUUUUCGUUGGUUUUCAGCAAGCCUUUGGUUAACAAAAAAAAGAAUUGUUGUAACUUUAAAAGAAAAACAACUAGCAGGUUCUGCUAUUUUUUUUAUGGUCGAUCACUUGCACUUACAUCUAUGCUUUGCGAUUAUUUUCUUCUUUGCCUUUUCUCUUCAUAGGAAGUGUGCUGCUCAUGUCCAUGACUUUGAUUUGGAUUGCAUAUAAUAGGUGGCUGUAUGUUUUCAACAAGAUUUAAUGGGGGGAAAAAAAACAAAACUAGUGGUUUUAGCAUCACCUCUGUUUGUUGCGGCAGUGUCCAACCAAUUUCUUUAUUGCCAGUCCCUUGCAUUUACAUUUAUGCUUUACCAUAAUUUUUUCCUUUUCUUUUUUCUCUAAAUGAGGUAUACAUUGCUCAUGUCGAUGUCUUUCGUUUUCAUGGCAUAUAAUGGGUGGAUGCUUUUGUUUUCAACAAGUCAUGCAUGAAAAAAAAAAACAUUUAUUAUUGUGACUUUAACCGAAAAAACACUUGCAUUUGCUUCAUCCCAUAUAUGUCAGUGCUUCAGAAAUUUUUCCACACAUUUCUAUCAGUGCUUCAGAAAUUUUUCCUUUGUUUUUUCUGUGCAUCCAGCUAGGCUGUAGGUUUUUUUAGAUUGUUCUGUAAGAUUUACUCUCCCUAUCUUUGUUUUUUUACCAGCUCUUAUCUGACUUGCCUGCUGACUUCCAUGUCAUCUCCUUCUAUGUCCCGUUAAUUGCUUUUUUCUUUUUUACAUUUUGUCAGCAGACUUGCGGAGCUGCAACCACCUGCUUUCUCAUACUAUUCUUUCACCUACAAAACUUUGGCAGGUUAUGCCCCAAAUUGUCAUCCGCACACUUCUUUUUGAGGGUUUCAUAGGAAAACUGGCACUUUCUCUACUCAUGAGUUGGAUUUUGAUUUCUGCAACAAGAAGAUAACUGCUACCUCUGCAAUUUUGACAUAAUUAGCUAACAACACUGCCCUUUAAGUGCCUUACGGCCUAUCGCUUUGUUUGCACAUUUGUUGUUGUUUACGACUCUAUCUAUACUAUUACACCUUUGAUGUUGAGCUUGGCUGCCAAUCUUCAUUGUCAUUGCUUGGCACUCCAUCCUCUUCCAUGGAUGUUAUUUCCAUUGUAAUGAAACAUUUUGCAUCUCUAAGCCAUUUUUAACA